Molecule: long non-coding RNA, 566 nt
Organism: Sinocyclocheilus rhinocerous
Lineage: Eukaryota; Metazoa; Chordata; Actinopteri; Cypriniformes; Cyprinidae
Exons: 4
Source: RefSeq, a predicted model, not a curated record
UGGGUCGUUGCUAUGGAGAUUCUGUCGCAACCACCCUGUAUAGAGUUUUUAGUAAAGCUUUUACUAAAGCCAAUUAAAUAAAGCACCAUGUCUGAGGGCGAAUGCUGUCGUACUUCAGAUGGUGUGGUGAUGAGGAAAGGUCUGGCACACAGACAUCAGCCUCUGGAGUUACUUACACUGCAGAAUGGGACAAUGAUAAGAUGAAUGGCAGAGGAACUCUUACACACCCUUCAGGGGGCGUUUUACAGUGACCUGUUCAGAGACAACAUGCAUCAUGGCAAAGGAACUUACCGAUUUCCUGAUGGGACAGAAUACACAGGAACCUUUAACAACAACAGUUCAGCCAUUGGUGAAGCACAUCUCCAAAAUACAUGAGCACGCACAAGCAGCAGAGCUCAUGACUGCAUGAGAAGUCAAGAGUUGUGUAAGACCAUGAAGCUCAAUUUCCUGUCCUCUGGAGUGAGAACGUGUUUACUGUGGAUCAGCAACUCAGCUGGACAUCCACCGCCCUUCAGUUUGCUUCUAUUCUGCUUUAAAUGAACCUGAAGCUCUAGUGUGCAAUUAAA